UUAGAUGAGUUAGAUAGACUAAAUAUUGACAGGGAGAUGAGUAGAGUUGCAACUGUCUCAGUUGGAAUCAGUGCUUCGCCAUUGACUGCUCAGCCCAUUCUUCAAAGUUCCUCCAAUGCCUACGAAACCCACCCACAGUUUUAUCUUGGCCGGUUGAUGGAUCACAGAGAAAAUGAGCAGUUCCUGCUGCACAACCAUCACAAUUCUUCCAAUUAUGCUCCUUGUGAAGAAACUGCUCAUUCAGUGCCGCUCCAUGGGCUUAUAAAUCAACAAGUAGGCUUGAAUGAAGGACGUCCAGGUACCAGCUUUCAGGUGCAUAAUUCACAGACAUUAGUGAAGGAGGAGAAGCCAAAGCUUGAUGGUUCAGUUCAGCAAGAGAGUGAACCUGAAAAAAUUCAUCCUGUAGAAAAAGUUUACGCUGUUCCAGUUGAUGGAGCACCAGUUGGAGUUGUACCGCAAGGGCAUCUUCAUUCUCUGCCCUCAAAAAAUGAGGGAAGGUACCUAGAACCUGAAAAGGUUUUUUCUUAUGUUGAUGCUGUGAAUUCACUCCAGGUUCCUAAAUCUAGUGAAGAUGAUCAAUGUUCCACAUCUGAUGGUACAUUUGGUCCAGUCCAUGCUGAUUCUGCUUCCAAUCUGAUUGAUUUGAGUUACUUUGAACCACCAGCGCCUCCUCAGAGAGUUUAUUGUUCAGAACGAAUACCACGAGAGCAAGCGGAGUUGCUGAAUAGGUUAUCAAAGUCUGAUGACUCUCUUGGUUCUCAGUUGCUUACUUCA
This 774-nucleotide unclassified non-coding RNA is filed under the name Hevea brasiliensis (rubber tree). Lineage: Eukaryota; Viridiplantae; Streptophyta; Magnoliopsida; Malpighiales; Euphorbiaceae. The record is from RNAcentral.